GUAGGGAAUAUUGGUAAUGGGCGAAAGCCUGAACCAGCAACGCCGCGUGUGCGAAGAAGGCCUUCGGGUUGUAAAGCACUUUUUAAGGGGAUGAGGAAGGACAGUACCCUUAGAAUAAGCCUCGGCUAACUACGUGCCAGCAGCCGCGGUAACACGUAGGAGGCAAGCGUUAUUCGGAUUUACUGGGCGUAAAGCGCGUGCAGGCGGUUUGGUAAGUUGGAUGUGAAAGCUCCCGGCCUAACUGGGAGAGGUCGUUCAAUACUACCAGACUAGAGGAUGGGAGAGGGAGGUGGAAUUCCGGGUGUAGUGGUGAAAUGCGUAGAUAUCCGGAGGAACACCAGUGGCGAAAGCGGCUUUCUGGACGACAACUGACGCUGAGGCGCGAAAGCCAGGGGAGCAAACGGGAUUAGAUACCCUUGUAGUCC
RNAcentral lists this ribosomal RNA (425 nucleotides) under uncultured bacterium. Its description in RNAcentral is "partial 16S ribosomal RNA". It matches the Rfam family "Bacterial small subunit ribosomal RNA", at positions 354 to 796 of the family's 1533-position model. The record is from RNAcentral.